This 55-nucleotide ribosomal RNA is filed under the name Russula fellea. RNAcentral's name for it is "partial 25S ribosomal RNA". Lineage: Eukaryota; Fungi; Basidiomycota; Agaricomycetes; Russulales; Russulaceae. RNAcentral also lists the same sequence under 3 other names. The record is from RNAcentral.
ACCUCAAAUCGGGUGAGACUACCCGCUGAACUUAAGCAUAUCAAUAAGCGGAGGA